Molecule: ribosomal RNA, 1201 nt
Filed under: uncultured fungus
Lineage: Eukaryota; Fungi
Description: eukaryotic LSU rRNA
Rfam family: Eukaryotic large subunit ribosomal RNA (bases 553-1201)
Source: RNAcentral
CUUGGUCAUUUAGAGGAAGUAAAAGUCGUAACAAGGUUUCCGUAGGUGAACCUGCGGAAGGAUCAUUACAGCGUCUUUUUUAGGUAGGGUGUAAAAACUCUAUCUAAUUAAAACACCACCCUUUGUUUAUAUUACUUUUGUUGCUUUGGCAGGCCCGUCUUCGGGCUGCUGGCUUUAGCUGGCAAGUGUCUGCCAGAGGACCUAAAACACUUUUAAUAAUAUUGUCUGAGUACUAUAUAAUAGUUAAAACUUUCAACAACGGAUCUCUUGGUUCUGGCAUCGAUGAAGAACGCAGCGAAAUGCGAUAAGUAAUGUGAAUUGCAGAAUUCAGUGAAUCAUCGAAUCUUUGAACGCACAUUGCGCCCUCUGGUAUUCCGGGGGGCAUGCCUGUUCGAGCGUCAUUACAACCCUCAAGCUCUGCUUGGUAUUAGGCCUCACAUGCUAAGGCGGGCCUUAAAAUCAGUGGCGGUGCCAUCUGGCUUCAAGCGUAGUAACUUUCUCGCUCAGGAGUACUAGGUGUUUACCUGCCAACAACCCCAANUUUUUACAGGUUGACCUCGGAUCAGGUAGGGAUACCCGCUGAACUUAAGCAUAUCAAUAAGCGGAGGAAAAGAAACCAACAGGGAUUACCUCAGUAACGGCGAGUGAAGCGGUAACAGCUCAAAUUUGAAAUCUGGCCUUUUAGGUCCGAGUUGUAAUUUGUAGAGGAUGUUUCGAACGUGGUCCGGUCUAAGUUCCUUGGAACAGGACGUCAUAGAGGGUGAGAAUCCCGUAUGCGACUGGGUGCCUAAGUUCAUGUGAAACUCCUUCGACGAGUCGAGUUGUUUGGGAAUGCAGCUCAAAAUGGGUGGUAAAUUUCAUCUAAAGCUAAAUAUUGGCCAGAGACCGAUAGCGCACAAGUAGAGUGAUCGAAAGAUGAAAAGCACUUUGGAAAGAGAGUUAAACAGUACGUGAAAUUGUUGAAAGGGAAGCGCUUGCAACCAGACUUGCAUGCAGUUGAUCAUCCGAUGUUCUCACCGGUGCACUCGAUUGUAUUCAGGCCAGCAUCGGUUUAGGUGGUUGGAAAAAAGCCCUAGGAAUGUAGCUUCUCUCGGGGAGUGUUAUAGCCUGAGGUAUAAUGCAGCCUACCUGGACCGAGGACCGCGCUUCGGCUAGGAUGCUGGCGUAAUGGUUGUAAGCGACCCGUCUUGAAACACGGACC